UUUCCUUCGAACUUGGAGUCGCUUUGAUCUUUCUUCUUGAACUCAACAAGAGACUCAGCUGCAGCAAUUGCCUCUGACAAGGUUUGGACGUGUCUCCUUUGUAACUCCAGCUUGGCCCAAUUAUGUAGGCCCCUCAUGAAGUACAUGAGCUUGUCUUUAUCUGUCAUGCUAGGCACCUCGAACAACAGGUUGGUGAACGUGGCGACAUAGUCCUUC
RNAcentral lists this long non-coding RNA (216 nucleotides) under Prunus persica (peach). Its description in RNAcentral is "long non-coding RNA (PPER_LNC002185)". Lineage: Eukaryota; Viridiplantae; Streptophyta; Magnoliopsida; Rosales; Rosaceae. The record is from RNAcentral.